Molecule: ribosomal RNA, 253 nt
Filed under: uncultured bacterium
Lineage: Bacteria
Description: partial 16S ribosomal RNA
Rfam family: Bacterial small subunit ribosomal RNA
Source: RNAcentral
GACGUAGGUGGCAAGCGUUGUCCGGAUUUACUGGGCGUAAAGAGCGCGCAGGCGGUCGUAUAAGUCGAAUGUGAAAGCCCCCGGCUCAACUGGGGAGGGUCAUUCGAUACUGUUCGACUCGAAGGCAGGAGAGGGAAGUGGAAUUCCGGGUGUAGUGGUGAAAUGCGUAGAUAUCCGGAGGAACACCAGUGGCGAAGGCGACUUUCUGGCCUGUUCUUGACGCUGAGGCGCGAAAGCUAGGGGAGCAAACGGG